AAGAGGAUUUUAACUACAGUAUAGAAUAUAAAGGUUGUGCUGUUGGUCCCCCUGCUUUAAAUAAAAUUGUUUCUUAAAUGUACCUGUCUGCUUGACUCCUGUUGCAGCCAGGGAUACUUGGUCUCAUAGAU
Sorex araneus (European shrew) is the source of this 131-nucleotide small nucleolar RNA. Its record names the gene SNORA63. It matches the Rfam family "Small nucleolar RNA SNORA63". Rfam says of the family: E3 belongs to the H/ACA class of snoRNAs and is involved in the processing of eukaryotic pre-rRNA and has regions of complementarity to 18S rRNA. The record is from Ensembl. Lineage: Eukaryota; Metazoa; Chordata; Mammalia; Eulipotyphla; Soricidae.